CCGAGGGCGGCGGGCGGCCGCGCCGGGGCGGCGCGCGCGCGUUUUCCUAGUUUGUGCAUGGUCAACAAAGAAAUAUGGAGUGUCUUGGCUGAAUCGUCAUACAGACAAGAUCAUGAUGAUCCUGGGUACUGCUAUGUUGCCCACACUGGCCUCAAACUCCUGGACUCAAGAGAUACUCCUGCCUCAGUCUCCUGAAUAGCUGGGACUGCAGACAAGCACUACCGAGCCCCGCUCCAUCAGUUCUUUAUAUUUCAACAGAUUGGAAUGUAGAAGGCAUGAGAGAAGAGAAU
This is a long non-coding RNA of Lemur catta (Ring-tailed lemur), 290 nucleotides long. RefSeq lists it as uncharacterized. Lineage: Eukaryota; Metazoa; Chordata; Mammalia; Primates; Lemuridae. The transcript is spliced from 3 exons. The record is from RefSeq and is a predicted model, not a curated record.